RNAcentral lists this ribosomal RNA (253 nucleotides) under uncultured bacterium. Its description in RNAcentral is "partial 16S ribosomal RNA". It matches the Rfam family "Bacterial small subunit ribosomal RNA", at positions 524 to 776 of the family's 1533-position model. The record is from RNAcentral.
UACGAAGGGGGCUAGCGUUGCUCGGAAUUACUGGGCGUAAAGCGUACGUAGGCGGCUUGUUAAGUCGGGGGUGAAAUCCUGGAGCUCAACUCCAGAACUGCCUUCGAUACUGGCGAGCUCGAGUUCGGGAGAGGUGAGUGGAACUGCGAGUGUAGAGGUGAAAUUCGUAGAUAUUCGCAAGAACACCAGUGGCGAAGGCGGCUCACUGGCCCGAUACUGACGCUGAGAUGCGAAAGCGUGGGGAGCAAACAGG